ACUCGCUAAAGGAACAAUAUAAAUGUAAAUGGACGCAUAAUUCGAGAGGUUUUCUAUUUUUCUCACCACGACAAAAUACUUCAGAUAUUUGAUGUGUUAUGAGUGGUUAUAAUCUCUGGAGGAGUAAAAUGGCGGAGUGAUUAGGUGAGAAAAUGGUGGCGAGUUGGAAUAACAAAAUGGUGGAAUGGUAAAAUGGUAACAAAGUUGGAAUAGCGAAAUGAUGGAAUAAUGUAAUGUUAAAAUGGCAAAAUGGUAAAACUGCAGAGUGAUAAAAUGGCAAAAUGGAAAAGUAAAAGAACAAAACCAUAGAAUUAUAAAACCAAGGUAUCACAGAAAUAACAAGAAUCGUAAAAUGAUAGAAUAAGAUGAUCGUAAAAUCAAACUAUCGUAAAACCAUAAAACCAAAGUAUCGUAAAAUCGUAGAAGCCACUAUAUUUAAACAUUCUAAAUUCAAUUAUCGAGUCUCUCGAAGUAGCAGAACUUCUACGCUAGGUCGGUACGACCGUGACAAAAGACGGUAAUUCGCGAAUAACUCGAUAUACGAAAUUGCAUCGAGAAAGCGUUAAUCGGACGCGUUCGCGUCGCUGACAGAAAUACGUUCGUGUCGUGUUGUAACCUUCGGAUCCCGAUGAACGUUUAAAUUGUUCGGUUGAUCGCUCGUAAACACUGGAAAACGAAGCUUCCCGACAGUGCACGAAUUUCAAUCAUCGAACAAAGAGACUCGGAAUUAUGGGCGUGCCAAACUCGAAGAGGCAAGAUACAGAUGACGACAUAAUAUCAAAGAAAUCACUGCAGGCUGUGAAGCAAAUCAUCAGUUUCCUAAAAGAACAUGCCAGAGAGGAGGGUUUGUUUCGACGCGCGGGCCGUCGCGAGCUACGAACGCGAAUAUUAAAUUCAUUGAAAAAAGGAGAGAAGCCACAUUUGGACAACAAUAACAACGCGGCCUUAGAAUGUGCAGCAGCGUUGCAACUUUUUCUUAGCCACUUGAAGAAACCCGUGAUGCCACAACAUGUCCAACAACUUCUUCUGGCCGACAAUCCCGGGGUGACCGCCCACGUAAUCGCGAGGGACGCGCUUGGAUUAAUACGACAGGACGUCGGGGGUCGUCACGGGGAGCUUCUGGCCAGGCUUCUUGAUUUACUCAGACACUUGACGCUUUCCGGCCCACCGUCGGAGAGAUCGGAACUACGCGGCUCGCCGCUUCCGAUUGCGCUGCUUCCGGUCUUCUUUACCCUAACGCCGGCUGACCUGGUGAAAUGGAAGCAAGUAGCCGCCAGAUUCAGCGAAUUAAUUACCGAAGCUCCUGAGCAACUGCAGCUGAAUGAAAAUCGAUCGUAUGACGUAGAAUCAACGGGUGUAACUAGCGGGAGUGAGGCGAACGUAAGAAACAGAAACGUCCUUAUGGUCUAACGAAAAUAUAAAAACUGCCUCAAAUUACCCUGUGUAAAAAGCAAAAGUCCUAGUCAUGACAAGUAAUUAUCCCUCGUCAUCGUAUUUUUCAAUAAAAGAGAGACAGGAAGAAAAUGGAAAGAUAGAAUGAAAAUGUCACAAUCGAAAUUUAUCACGUCAUUUUUCCUAUCUCCCUUUUUUUGUUACGUGCCUCUAUCUUUCUCUAUCUCCGUUGAAUAAACACAUUAAUGAAACAGACGACACUGGAAGAGUUGGCAUAUCUUUCGUACUCAUAUUACGCCAGUCAGGUUGGAGAGAUAACUCGCAUUCUUGCUGUGCCGUUGCAUAGACUUCCGGCAAGCAGACUUCAUCCAGCAAUUUCCAAUUCGAAUCGAUAGCCACGGCAUUAAAAGACAUUAAUAUAAAUGCAAUUCUUUCGCAUAAAUGUUAGGGAACGAUGCAUAAAUUAUCUGUAUCCAUUUACUGCACUUCUCAUACUUCGUUCGAUGGAAUGAAGAAAGAAAAAGGAAUUGCUUCUAGUUAUGCAUUUUUAUACUUGGUUCUUAUACCCUCAUUUAUAUUGUAAUUAUUUAUUUUUGUAUAAAAUACUGUAAAAUAAAAUUACUUUC
Osmia lignaria (orchard mason bee) is the source of this 2018-nucleotide RNA transcript. RefSeq lists it as uncharacterized. Lineage: Eukaryota; Metazoa; Arthropoda; Insecta; Hymenoptera; Megachilidae. The record is from RefSeq and is a predicted model, not a curated record.